Molecule: non-coding RNA, 93 nt
Filed under: Corynebacterium sphenisci
Lineage: Bacteria; Bacillati; Actinomycetota; Actinomycetes; Mycobacteriales; Corynebacteriaceae
Also listed under: 1 other name
Description: TPP sequence
Rfam family: TPP riboswitch aptamer (THI element)
About the family: Vitamin B(1) in its active form thiamin pyrophosphate (TPP) is an essential coenzyme that is synthesised by coupling of pyrimidine and thiazole moieties in bacteria. The previously detected thiamin-regulatory element, thi box was extended, resulting in a new, highly conserved RNA secondary structure, the THI element, which is widely distributed in eubacteria and also occurs in some archaea.
Source: RNAcentral
UGCACGGGAGCCCCGGGGAGCCGGGGCUGAGAGGAGGGCGCGUACCGCCCUCGACCGUCGAACCUGAUCCGGGUAAUGCCGGCGCAGGGAGCA